GCACAGCCAUCUGUGGUGACUAGGAGGUCCCCAAGCCGAGGACACCCAUCAAGGACCUUUGGAGUGGCCUCAGACCAAGGUCACCAAUCAAUGGCUAACUGGGGGUCCCAAAACUUAGCCCAGCCAUCUAUGGACAGUGGGGAGCCUUCAAGCCUAGCCCAGCCAUCUCAAGCCCCUGGGGUAACCUCAAACCUGGCCCAGCCAUCUCAAGCCUUUGGGGUGUCUCCAAGUCCAGACUACCCAUCUCAGGCUGUUGGGGAGUACCCAACCCUGGCCCAGCCAUUUCAGCCCACUGAGGUGUCCCCAAGUCCAACCUACCCAUCUCAGGCCAUUGGAGAGUACCCAACCCUGGCCCAGCCAUUUCAGCCCACUGAGGUAUCCCUAAGCUCAGCCCACCCAUAUCAGCUCACUGAGGUGUCCCCAAGCGCAGCCUACUCAUAUCAGCCCACUGAGGUGCCCCCAAACCCAGGCUACAUAUCUAUGGCCAUUGAGAUGUCCCCAAGCCCAGGAUACCCAUCUGUGGCCACUGAGGUGUCCCCAAACCCAACCUACACAUAUCAGCCCACUGAGAUAUCCCCAAGCCCAGGCUACCCAUAUCAGCCCACUGAGGUGUCCCCAAGCCCAGGCUACCCAUCUAUGGCCACUGAGGUGUCCCCAAGCCCAGGCUACCCAUAUCAGCCCACUGAGGUGUCCCCAAGCUCAGGCUACCUAUCUAUGGCUACUGAGGUGUCCCCAAGCCCAGACUACUCAUCUCAGCCCACUGAGGUGUCCCCAAGUUCAGGCUACAUAUCUAUGGCCACUGAGUUGUCCCCAAGCCCAGGCUACCCAUAUCAGCCCACUGAGGUGUCCCCAAGCCCAGGCUACCCAUAUCAGCCCACUGAGGUGUCCCCAAGCUCAGGCUACCUAUCUAUGGCCACUGAGAUGUCCCCAAGCCCAGGCUACCUAUCUAUGGCCACUGAGGUGUCCCCAAGCCCAGGCUACCCAUAUCAGCCCACUGAGGUGUUCCCAAGCUCAGGCUACCUAUCUAUGGCCACUGAGGUGUCCCCAAGCCCAGGCUACCCAUAUCAGCCCACUGAGGUGUCCCCAAGCUCAGGCUACCUAUCUAUGGCCACUGAGAUGUCCCCAAGCCCAGACUACUCAUCUCAGCCCACUGAGGUGUCCCCAAGCUCAGGCUACCUAUCUAUGGCCACUGAGGUGUCCCCAAGCCCAGGCUACCCAUAUCAGCCCACUGAGGUGUCCCGAAGCCCAGGCUACCCAUAUCAGCCCACUGAGGUGUCCCCAAGCUCAGGCUACCGAUCUAUGGCCACUGAGAUGUCCCCAAGCCCAGACUACUCAUCUCAGCCCACUGAGGUGUCCCCAAGCUCAGGCUACCUAUCUAUGGCCACUGAGGUGUCCCCAAGCCCAGGCUACCCAUAUCAGCCCACUGAGGUGUCCCCAAGCCCAGGCGACCCAUCUGUGGUCACUGGUGAGUCCCCAAGCUCAGCCUACCCAUCUCAGCCCACCGAGAUGUCCCCAAGCCCAGCCUACCCAUCUCAGCCCACUGGGGAGUCUCCAAGCCUGACCCAGCCAUCUCUGACCAUCAGAGUGUCCCCAAGCCUAGCCAUGUCAUCUCAGACCAUUGGAGUGUCCCCAAGCCUAGCCAUGCCAUUUCAUACCAUUGGAGUGUCCCCAAGCCUAGCUCACCCAUCUAUGGCCAUUCGGGAGUCUCCAAGCCUGGUCCAGCCUCCUCAGGCCACUGGGGAAUCCCCAAGCUUGACCUGGCCAUCUCAGGCCACUGGGGUGUCCCUAAGUGUAGCCCACCGACCUAUGACCUGUGUGGUGUCCUUAAGCCCAGCCCAGCCAUCUCAAGCCAUUGGUGUGUCUCCAAGCCUAGCCCACCCAUCAGGACCCCAUGGGUUGUCUCCAAGCCUAGCUCAUCCAUAUUUGGCCAGUGGGAUGGGCCCCAGCCUAGCCCACCCAUCUCAGACCACUGCAGUAUCCGCAAGGCAAGCCCAACCAUCUGUGGUCUCCAGCCCAGGCAAGACAUAUUCAUCCUGUACCCUAGCCUCCAGCCUAGCCGAGCCAGCCAUAGCCCCCAGCCUAUUCCCACCAUCUAUGGCCCACACGGAAGCCCUAAGCCUGGCUCAGUCACCUCCGGACACUAGGUUGGCCCCAAGCCAAUCCCAGCCAUCUGUGGUCAGUGGUACAUGUCAUGGCCUCAAUGAGCCAUGCUGGGGCUCUAGGCUGGAUUCAAAUCUGCAGUGUUCAAGGGUAGACUCAGUAGCCCCGUGUCUGUGUCACCCAUCAGCGUUUGUUUCAGUUAGCCCGGGUGUACCAUAUCCCUCUGUGGCUGGAAGUAUGGACCAGGGUCCGAACCAGCCUUCCCUGGGUACUGGGGUGAACCUAUGUGAAGAACCUCUGAUGGUUAGUGAGAUGGUAUCCAGCCCCCCGGACUUCAAGUUCAACGACGUGUCCUUUGGGUUCCAUCAUCCACCCAGGGUUGGUGGAAGGCAUGUGUGUCCACCCUCUGUGGUUAGUGUUUCAACACCACAUUUCUCUCAUGCUGAUGAGGAGGCCUGUUGUGUAGGCCAGCGAAUCACGCCUCUGUUCAGGGGUGUGGCUACAAGCCAUCCCCAGGAGCCCUUGGCUGGUGCUAUGUUCCUCAGUGGGUCUCAGGGGACCACGUCUCCUGGCUUAGCUGGGAGUCUCCCCCGGAGAACCAUAGCAACUGGCAUGGGCCAAAGUCAAUGUCAGGUGGCCAAUGGUGUGGCUUCCCUUGCAUCCCAGGUCUUAGAGGCAGGUGGCCCUUUGACACAUCCCUCUGGAACCACAGGGAUGGCCCCCAGCCCCUCUCUGGCUUCAGCGCCCAACAGACUGGCCAUGACUCAGUCUAAUCUUUCCCUGAACAGCGUUGGCCCCAGCAGCUCCCAGAUCAGUGUGGUUAUUCCAAAAAACAUAGACCGCUGGCACCCUUCUGAGGCACCCAUGGUCCCACCCAGUUACCAGCAGAGAGAUGUGAUUCCGCAGGACUCUCUGAAGAGCAGAGCUGGUUGUGGUGCGGCAGGGGAUUUUAUAGCCAGUAAGAUGAGCACGGGUGCAGUCCCAGGCGCUCUGCCUGGUGGCAUAACCUCCAGCCUUCCCCCGGGGUCCGCCAUCCGAGGCAUGGGUCAGAGCCUUCCCGCAGGCUCUGAGUGCAGUUGGGUGGCUCCCAGUCUGAUGGCAGACAGAAAGAAGCCGAGUCUAUCUGUAAGACCCUCCGAUAGCUUAGCUGCUCCAAACUUGCUCCCAGGUUCGGUAGUGAGUGGGGUGAGCCCAGUUGUCCCCCUUGGUUCUGUGCCAAUGAUGGGGGCCUCUAGUGUGGCUCAGAGCUGCUCCAAGGGGUCCAUGGUGAUUGACAUCACUGCCUCUCCUUUCCUCAAAGCCCUGGCUGGGGAGAGGCCUAUAGCCCCCUUGCAGAUGCCCCACACCACCAGCCUGGCUCCAGGUCACUCCUCAGCCCCGGCAGCUAGUGGCACAGUGAGGAGUCUACACCGAGUGCCCACGGUUCUAUCAAGACCCUUACAAUUGAGCCAAGAUGCUGGGAUAAUGCCAUCUGGGGCCACAGGGGACCAAGCCGAGCUAGGAGAAUUGGAUGAGGCUGUGUCCCAAGUGUCAGUAUCAAGUGGAUCCAAUGACCUAACCAGCAAAGCCAGGGUCAUUGGCGCAACCCCGUGGAUGUACCCCAGUCCUCUGGGACCUGAUGGGGGCCGUGAUCAUAGGUCCCUGUCUGAGAAAGGGUCUCUUCCCCAAGGCCAAACACCAUUGUUCAGGGAGGUGGCUCCCAGCCAUGCUAGUGGCAUGGUCCCUGUCCCUUUCCAGGCCCCGGGUUUAGCCACUAAGACCCCCUCAGUUUAUCAACAGGGGUCUGUCAUUCACGUCAUACCCCAAAAUCACUCUCAGGGUACAGUGGCUUCUAAUGUAGUCUCAGGAUCACCCCAGCUGGCCCGUGGCAGUACUGAGGAUUUCAGAUGGCUUUCAGUGUCUGUGGGCAGGAUGGGGAAUCCUAGUCUUCCUCAGAGGUCAGGGACUGCCAGCAUGGUCUCACAUGUUCCACCACAUCCAUCCUCGGCUAGAAGGGCAUCGUCCAGUCCCUUCCAGACAGAAGCUGUCCCCAAUCCACUCCAGAAAACAGUGUCUGUAAACCUGGCUCAGAGCAGCCGCUGGGACUCCAUGGGCCCUAAAAAUUCCUACAGAUCCGUGCAUGGUAGGAUUGUUCCAGAACUGCUAGAAAGUUCUGUGGCCAGGGUUAGGCCCUUCCAGUAUGUGCAAAGACAACCAUCCCAGGCCUCAGCCCGAGGUGGUGCAAACUCCACCCAUAGGCCCUCUGCAGAGGUAAGGCCCGUCAUCCGCACUGGGGAGAUGACACACUCCUUGGCCAUUCCUCCCGGGGCCCCGGGAGUUCGGAGGGUGUCUCUAGGCUACGAGUCUUCCCCGAGUGAUUCCCUGCCGCCCCUUUUUAACCAGGAGUCACCGUGGGGAUUGCAGGACUCCUAUAGCCCCCAGAAUCCUGCCGUUAAUCACAAGGCAUCCCUGAACUCCACUAUACUCCAGGGCCCCACGGACACUGGUGUGGCUAGUGGCCAAUCGUGGAACCGCGUGUGGGAGCCAGCCAGGGGUGCUGCGCCCUGGGACACCCGGCGCAACAAGGCGGUGGUGCAUCCCAGGUGGUCCGGGGAGCCGAUGAUGUCCAUGCAGGCUGCAGAGGAGAUCCGCAUCCUUGCAGUGAUCACUAUCCAGGCAGGCGUCCGUGGCUACCUGGCGCGUCGCAGGAUCCGGGUGUGGCACCGGGGGGCCACGGUCAUCCAAGCUACUUGGCGUGGCUACCGUGUGCGGCGGAACCUGGCACACCUCUGCAGAGCCACCACAAUCAUCCAGGCUGCCUGGCGCGGCUACAGCACCCGCCGGGACCAAGCCCGGCACUGGCAGAUGCUCCACUCCGUCACGUGGGUGGAGCUGGGCGGCCGGGCCGAGGUCAUGUCUGACCGAAGCUGGUUCCAGGAUGGCAGAGCCAGGACAGUAUCUGACCAUCGCUGCUUCCAGUCCUGCCAGGCACAUGCUUGCGGCGUCUGCCACUCCCUGAGCUCCAGGAUCGGGAGCCCGCCCAGUGUGGUGAUGCUAGUGGGCUCCAGCCCUCGCACCUGUCAUACCUGUGGACGCACCCAGCCCACCCGCGUGGUGCAGGGCAUGGGCCGGGGCGCUGGGGGCCCCGGGGCAGUGUCUUUGUCCUCCGCCUACCAGCAGGCUGCCCCGAGUCCCAGGCAGCCGCAUCGCCAGGACAAAGCGGCCACAGCCAUCCAGUCCGCCUGGAGGGGCUUUAAGAUCCGCCGGCAGAUGAGGCAGCAGCAAAUGGCAGCGAAGAUGGUUCAAGCCACCUGGCGAGGUCACCAUACCCGGAGCUGUCUGAAGAACACAGAGGCGCUCUUGGGACCAGCAGACCCCUGGGACAGCUCACGGUACACGCAUUGGCCCGGCAUCUAGGACCCUGGAUCCCUGCAGUGGGGACUUCGUGGGAGGCACUCAUGGCUCUCUGGGUCUAAUGAAUAAAGUCCUCCACAGCCU
Molecule: small RNA, 5577 nt
Filed under: Pongo abelii (Sumatran orangutan)
Lineage: Eukaryota; Metazoa; Chordata; Mammalia; Primates; Hominidae
Description: retained intron
Source: RNAcentral